This 286-nucleotide small RNA is filed under the name Pseudorhodoplanes sinuspersici. Its description in RNAcentral is "5' ureB small RNA". It matches the Rfam family "5' ureB small RNA". Lineage: Bacteria; Pseudomonadati; Pseudomonadota; Alphaproteobacteria; Hyphomicrobiales. The record is from Rfam by way of RNAcentral.
CAUCAUCGAUCUGCUGCGGGCAGAUGAAAUGGAUAUGCGUAUCGAAGCCCCCGGCGGUGAGGAUCUUGCCCUCGCCCGCGAUCACUUCGGUGCCCGGUCCGACGAUGAUGGUCACGCCCGGCUGGAUAUCCGGAUUGCCGGCCUUGCCGAUGGAGUGGAUCUUGCCGUCCUUCAACCCGACAUCGGCCUUCACGAUGCCCCAGUGAUCGAGGAUCAGCGCAUUGGUGAUGACGGUGUCGACCGCGCCCUGCUUGUUGGUGAUUUGCGACUGCCCCAUCCCGUCACG